UCCNCAGUGGCUGCUGAUGGGAGCUCUGG
This 29-nucleotide non-coding RNA is filed under the name Homo sapiens (human). Lineage: Eukaryota; Metazoa; Chordata; Mammalia; Primates; Hominidae. The record is from RNAcentral.